RNAcentral lists this long non-coding RNA (624 nucleotides) under Heterocephalus glaber (naked mole-rat). RNAcentral describes it as "lncRNA (ENSHGLG00000037548.1)". The record is from RNAcentral. Lineage: Eukaryota; Metazoa; Chordata; Mammalia; Rodentia; Bathyergidae.
CUCUAGACCUUGACCAGCUAAAUCUCAAAGACUCAGAAUGUUUGCCAUUCUGUGUGGGAUACAGAGGCUUCCAGAAUCUGGUCGCCAGGCACAGACAGGUGGUCUGAGGAACCUUCUGAUCUAACUGGGACAGAUCAGAUAACCUCGGGUAGGCUUACCAGAGUGCUACAUCCAAGCCAGGAAAAUAAGAUAAUGGAGCAGCCCCACAUGUCCUCCUCCUUCUUUAUCCUUCACAAAUUCUCCAAAGUCUCUUGGGGAGAGAAGCACUAUGGACCCUCUGUGUAUAACAGGAUGACAUUCCACAUCUCUGGCUUUUGUCUCUAAAAAGCUAGCUCCUGGAGAAAUGGCUGAUCCUAUGUUCGAGACAGGGAAUAUACAAGAUGAGCCUGGAACAUCUUGCAAUUCUUAAAAGCAAACUGAAACUGAGAGAUGUUCUACAAAAUACCUGACCAGUACUCCCUCAAAACUGUCAAGGUCAUCAAAAACAAGAUUGAAGAAUUGCCACAGACCGGAGGAGACUCAGGAAGUUGACAACCAACUGCAAUGUGGCAUUCUGGAUUGGAUCCAGGAACAAAAAGAAGAAAAGCUGAUGAAAUCCAAAUAAAGACUCGAGUUUAGUUAGAA